RNAcentral lists this long non-coding RNA (384 nucleotides) under Gossypium raimondii (Peruvian cotton). Its description in RNAcentral is "long non-coding RNA (GRAI_LNC007761)". The record is from RNAcentral. Lineage: Eukaryota; Viridiplantae; Streptophyta; Magnoliopsida; Malvales; Malvaceae.
UUUUGAGCAAACAUAUUACUUCCUUGCUGUACGUUUGUGAGCAAGUAAAUUGUUCUCUGUUUCUUCAUGCUUUGUUCAAUAUCUUGUUCUCUUCUUUUACUGCUGCCAAAACCCCAACAAUCUUGUAUUCAUCUAAUUUUUCAUCUGUCUUUCCUCAAGCAGUAAGUUGGCGAAAAAAUUGCAUCUUGUGAUGACUUACCAACUAUUGUUGAAGAUGGUGACAUUCUUGUGGAACUUGAAGCCAUACUGGAUACCCGUUGGAUUAAAAAGGGAUCCAAAUUUGUUGAGGAAAGUUUGAUCAAAUGGACAAGGUUCUAAACAAAGGGGAGGAAUGGAUAAGAAAAGAAAGUCCAAAAGGAUGUCUAUCAAACGAUCCACGUGUGC